GUUCUCAGUUCGGAUCGGAGUCUGCAACCCGACUCCGUGAAGCUGGAUUCGCUAGUAAUCGCGCAUCAGCCAUGGCGCGGUGAAUACGUUCCCGGGCCUUGUACACACCGCCCGUCAAGCCAUGGGAGCCGGGGGUGCUUGAAGUGCGUCGCCGCAAGGCGCGCCCUAGAGCAAAACCGGUGACUGGGGCUAAGUCGUAACAAGGUACC
Molecule: ribosomal RNA, 209 nt
Filed under: uncultured bacterium
Lineage: Bacteria
Description: partial 16S ribosomal RNA
Rfam family: Bacterial small subunit ribosomal RNA
Source: RNAcentral